Molecule: long non-coding RNA, 3650 nt
Organism: Canis lupus familiaris (dog)
Lineage: Eukaryota; Metazoa; Chordata; Mammalia; Carnivora; Canidae
Exons: 4
Source: RefSeq, a predicted model, not a curated record
AUGAUGAUGAACAUCUAUUCAUGUGUCUGUUGGCCAUCUGGAUGUCUUCUUUGCAAAAAUGUUUUGAUACCAAGGAGACUCCUUAGUAAACAUUCUGCUGGCUAAAUUCCACCUCAGAGUCUACCUCCUAGGAAACCCAACCCAUGACGAUGAUUGAAUAACAUUUUUAAGUACUGAAAUAAUGAAAGCUGUCAACCCAGCAUUCUAUAUGCUGCAAAAUUAUCUUUCAAAAAUGAAGAAAAAUAAAGAUGUUUUCAUAUGGAUAAAAGCUAAGAAUUUGUGUGUUGUGCUAUAAGAAAUGCUAAAGGGAAUUCUUCAAGUGGAAGAGGAAUGGCACCAGGUGAUAACUUGGAUUCAGUGGAAGGAAUAAAGAACACAGGAAAUGCCUAUUGAUACAGUGGAUGACAUUGGUUUCUGGAUGUUGAACCACACCCUUGCAUAGCACUUCGUUAAAGGAUAUAAUUCUUUUCAUACAUGGCUGGAUUCAACUUGCUAAUGUUUUGAGACUGCUUUUGGAGAUGCAUCUGUGAGGGAAUGAGGAAGGCAGAGUUUGGCAGAGGGAGUUGCAACUGAGAUCUCCUGUGACCCUAUGGAGAGCUCUGUGGUGAGAAUGACCCUUUGAGAUGCUCUAAGUUGAAGCAAUGAGCUGGGCCUCGGAAUCUCCACAUCAGUCGAUCAUUGGUUAUGGACACCCUCUGAGAGGGCCUGUAACUGUGGCUGAGGCAGGUCCCUGCAGCCUGAGGCUUUGCCUAGUGAGGGAUGUGGUUGUGCACCCCCUAUUCCCAGAAGAUGGGGGAUGGGUCUUUUGGCUCUAAAGAGAGGUUCUGGGCAGAACCCCACAGCAUUCACUACAAACACAUUUGUUGUAAGAUACAUCUUGAACUUAGAAACAUUAGAAGUGAAGAAAGUGCACCUUAAGAUAAGAGUAGGAUAAAAAAAAAGAUAAGAGUAGAAAUAUGGUCUAAGGAUUCAGUAGUGUUUUUUGGUAUAGAGAUGCAAGCUGAACUCCAAGGAUGAAUCCAAAUAGAGAAUUAAAAAUCCAAAGGGUCUCAGGAAUUUUCUCCAUUGUCUCUCAUUUUUGACUCUUUUUUGCAAAUCUGCUUUACUCUUCUUUCUUGAUAUUCCAACUCUCUUUGCUGAAGAGUUUAGCAAAGCCCGCAUGGGUAGUGGAUGAUUACCAGUACUGUGCUGGUGAAUAUGUAAAAUUGGCUCUCUGGCAGAAAAGAGGUGUGCACCUAUAUUCAUGUAAUUUUUACUGAUAUAAAGGAUAUGGAGGACACAAUUGUAGGUAAUAAUGGACUAUACCAUACUCUUUAUUGUAAUUCCAUAUAGCUAGUUGAUUCUCACAGGAUUCUUUAAUUGAUUUUUGCAGAACUCAUGUCCUCAGCCAACCUGUAGUUAUAAAGGAUGAAUGAGCCCCGCUCUGACAUGAAUGCUGGUUGAUAUCUCUGCUUAAAUUAAUGAAUAAGACAAAAGUGAAAUAACAAAGGUGCAUGUUAGAACUUAAUUUGUUUGCCAUGUAGAUGACUUCUUUAUUCAAUCAGAUAAUAGUUUCUCAAGUCCUGGAAGAAUAUCUCCUCAAGUCUUUUUCUUCUUUACUUACUGUGCAACAGUUGUUUUUGAUAGGAGAGAGAUUUUGCUCCUCAGGGGACCUUUGGCAAUGUCCAGAGACAUUUUUGGUUGUCACAAUUAUAGAAGGGGAGGGUGUUACUGGCAUCUAACAGGUAAAUAGAUGCCAAACAUCCCUCUCCCUAAAACAAAUUAUCUGGUCCAAGGUUGAGAAACUCUGAUCUGUAUUAUUAACAUUGUCUCCAUAACACUUUAAAGUUUAGAAAAUCAACAAGAUAAUAAAUCAAGUCCAGAUUUGUAGCAUUUGCCAAUUUCAGUGGUGUGAACAUUCCCACUGUGGCUGAUCUAAGGUACCAAUAUCACAUCUUUAAGUGUGGAGUCAUUGAAAAAUAUGUAGUAGCACAUGUUAUAUGGAAUUUCCACCACAAAGAUACAGUAGUUAUAACUAAAUCCAAGAGCAUAAAUUAUAGUAAAAUAUAGUAAUAUAAUUAGUAAUACAUAAUAGGUUCUGUGUAUUUAUUACCUGUAUUUAUAAUGUACUUAUGUAAAUAAACAUUUAAUUUUUAACAAUGGCUAUGCUUAACAGCUGACUCAUAAAAUUCUUAAAAGAUUUAGCAGUUUGCUCUUGCAGGUCAGUAUAGACUGGUCUGGCUCCAGCUUGGCACCAAAUGGCUACCCACCACUCUUGAAUUCACAUUUUAUAUUACCUGCAUCUUAGAAAGAUUGACCCAGUUCCAAUGCCAGUUUUCUAAGGAAUGGACUCUGGUUGGUCCAGAUUGGGUCAGGUACCUGCAGGUUUGUGAAUGUAGCUGGAUCCAAAGGAAGUCUAUUCCCAUCCAUUAGGAAACUUCUGGAAGCAUCUCUGUGAGUGGGAGUGCACCCUCAGAGGAGUCUGUAACAGCACUACAGACACUGGCACAUGCUUCCUCCUCCAUUCCUGUUUAUCAAGACUCCAUGCAGAAAAAGUUUCUGACUCAUCCACUGUUUCCUUCCCACAGAGAUUUCAAAAUAAUGUAUUAGAUCAGUGGUUCUCAAAGUGUGGUCCUUGGAUCAAAAGCAGCUGCUUCACUUGGGGUCUUGUUCAAAAAGCAAAUUAUUGGGCAUGAUUCCAAGCCUCCUCACUGAGCUAUUCUGGGGAUGGAGGCCAGAAGUCAGGUUUCAAAAGGUCUUCCAGGUUAUUCUGAGGCAAACUGAAGAUUGAGGCCACUGUACUGGAUUAUCUAAUUUAAACAAAGUUACAUUCUGUUCUUUAGGACAGCAACAAAACAAACCCAGAUCAUCCUGAUUAAAUUAGGUAUUUCUUCCAGUCUUCAGAAAUGACAAAUAAUCUCCCUUUGGAUGAGUUACUCUGGCGAGCAAUAAUCUCAUCAAUCUUAUAUUGAUUUUUACUAUUUCUUCUCUAGAAAAUGACUGGUCUUUUAUUUCUGUGAAUACUUUAUUGUAACCCCAUAUACGCUAUUAAGUCAUAUUUAUCCGACAUAAUUUAACUUUUCAGGAUCUGUUUCUUGAUUCUCAAGAGUAGGGACUUCAUUUUGUAUUUGGUUUAGGUCACAGAACCUAAUGUAGGACAGAGCUCACAGAAGAUACUUAAAUGUUGGAUGAAUAAUCAUGAAGAUUUACACAAAUAUUUUAUGUCCAAUCUUUGCUUUCUUUUAUUGUCAUUAUUCAAGUGUUAUCAUACAUAAUUUCUAAAGUAGUUACUCUGGGAAAAUGUAUAAGGAAUUGCAGUAAUUAAAACAGAAAAUGACAGCUUUCUGGAUAUUUUCUCCAAAUUAUAGAAUUUGUAUCAAGUUAUGGUGUGAAGAAGAAAAGAAGAAUCGCCAGCAGUUACUCUUGAAAAGCCAAUAUUUUGAUAUGUUUCCUUCCAUUUUUUCUAAGUUUAUAUGCUUUUCUAACCAAAAAGAGACCAUAUGCUGUUGUGCCCAAGAUUGCGAAUCCGAGAAACCACCAUGAAGCCUACACGGAUGCAAGCGCACGAAGGUUUAUUAGCAAGCUCGAGCUUGGAUCCAAGUAUACCCAACACAGAGGGGCAGGGACUUGGACCCCGAAGUGGGUUACAGCUGGGUUUUUUAUAGGCUGGU